RNAcentral lists this ribosomal RNA (492 nucleotides) under uncultured bacterium. RNAcentral's name for it is "partial 16S ribosomal RNA". It matches the Rfam family "Bacterial small subunit ribosomal RNA", at positions 28 to 507 of the family's 1533-position model. The record is from RNAcentral.
AGCGAACGCUGGCGGUAGGCCUAACACAUGCAAGUCGAACGGCAGCGCAGUAAGUGCUUGCUCUUCCGGUUGCGGAGUGGCGAAUGGGUGAGGGAUAAUUCGGAAUCCACUUUUUGGUGGGGGUUAACGUCGGGAUCUUUACGCUGAUACCGCAUACGUCCUACGGGUGAAUGCAGGAGUUCUUUGGACCUUGCACGAUUGAAUGAGCCGAUGUCGGGUUAGCGAGUUGGCGGGGUACAGGCCCACCAAGGCGACGAUACGUGGCUGGUCUGAGCGGAUGAAGACGCACACUGAGGCUGAGACACGGUCCUGGCUCCUAGGGAAGGCAGCAAUGGGGAAUGGUGGACAAAGGGCGCAAGCCUGAUCCAGCCAUGCCGGGUGGGUGCAGAAGGCCUGCGGGUUGUAAAGCGGUUUUGUUGUGGUAGAAAAGCUUCAGGUGGGAACACGGUUGUUGUGACGGUACCUAAAGAAGAAGCACCGGCUAACUUCGUG